RNAcentral lists this ribosomal RNA (253 nucleotides) under uncultured prokaryote. Its description in RNAcentral is "partial 16S ribosomal RNA". It matches the Rfam family "Bacterial small subunit ribosomal RNA", at positions 525 to 777 of the family's 1533-position model. The record is from RNAcentral.
ACAGAGGUCUCAAGCGUUGUUCGGAUUCAUUGGGCGUAAAGGGUGCGUAGGUGGCGCCGUAAGUCAGGUGUGAAAUCUCGGAGCUUAACUCCGAAACUGCAUCUGAUACUGCGGUGCUUGAGGACUGGAGAGGAGACUGGAAUUUACGGUGUAGCAGUGAAAUGCGUAGAUAUCGUAAGGAAGACCAGUGGCGAAGGCGGGUCUCUGGACAGUUCCUGACACCGAGGCACGAAGGCCAGGGGAGCAAACGGGA